Molecule: ribosomal RNA, 1380 nt
Filed under: Okeanomyces cucullatus
Lineage: Eukaryota; Fungi; Ascomycota; Sordariomycetes; Microascales; Halosphaeriaceae
Description: bacterial SSU rRNA
Rfam family: Eukaryotic small subunit ribosomal RNA
Source: RNAcentral
UGGCUCAUUAUAUAAGUUAUCGUUUAUUUGAUAGCACUCUUCUACUCGGAUAACUGUGGUAAUUCUAGAGCUAAUACGUGCUGAAAAUCCCAACUUCGGAAGGGCUGUAUUUAUUAGAUUAAAAACCAACGCCCCUCGGGGCUUCUUGGUGAUUCAUGAUAACUUCUCGAAUCGCAUGGCCUUGCGCCGGCGAUGGUUCAUUCAAAUUUCUUCCCUAUCAACUUUCGAUGCGAGGGUAUUGUCCUCGCAUGGUUACAACGGGUAACGGAGGGUUAGGGCUCGACCCCGGAGAAGGAGCCUGAGAAACGGCUACUACAUCCAAGGAAGGCAGCAGGCGCGCAAAUUACCCAAUCCCGACACGGGGAGGUAGUGACAAUAAAUACUGAUACAGGGCUCUUUUGGGUCUUGUAAUCGGAAUGAGUACAAUUUAAAUCCCUUAACGAGGAACAAUUGGAGGGCAAGUCUGGUGAACUCUAGCUAGUUCUGUUCUGCUGGCGCCAGAAAUAGCAGGCCCGGGAGAGUGCCAACUUUCCAAACAUGCUAGUCGAGCAUCCGCUAAAGGGCGGGGGGAUGCCGGCGAGACAACCUGGUUCGGGGAAGGCUACGGACGGCCAAACCAGCCGUCUACUGCUAAUCCCGAAUGGAGUGGUGGGAGAGCAAUCUUCCACACACCCAUGUAGAGCGCGGAAAGGUGUCGGUCGCACUGCCAGACGGCAGGCGGCUUAAGGGACGUGCCACCCCCUCCGAAAGGAGGUUUCCAGUCCGGAGCGCCCGCCACGCAAAGGACAGGAAGGUACCGGCCGGGAGGCCGGUAGGGAUCGAUCGCCUCGUGUGGAAGACCUCCACCGAGCAUUGCAGCCGAAAAGUGGCCAGCAGCCGCGGUAAUUCCAGCUCCAAUAGCGUAUAUUAAAGUUGUUGUGGUUAAAAAGCUCGUAGUUGAACCUUGGGCCUGGCUACAAGGACCGCCUCACCGCGAGAUCUUUUCGUAGCCGGGUCUUUCCCGCUGUGGAACCCCAUGGCCUUCACUGGUCGUGGCGGGGAAACAGGACUUUUACUUUGAAAAAAUUAGAGUGCUCCAGGCAGGCCUAUGCUCGAAUACAUUAGCAUGGAAUAAUAAAAUAGGACGCGUGGUUCUAUUUUGUUGGUUUCUAGGACCGCCGUAAUGAUUAAUAGGGACAGUCGGGGGCAUCAGUAUUCAAUUGUCAGAGGUGAAAUUCUUGGAUCUAUUGAAGACUAACUACUGCGAAAGCAUUUGCCAAGGAUGUUUUCAUUGAUAAGGAACGAAAGUUAGGGGAUCGAAGACGAUCAGAUACCGUCGUAGUCUUAACUAUAAACUAUGCCGACUAGGGAUCGGACGAUGUUAUAUUUUGACUCGUUCGG